AAUGAGAUGCAGACUUUUAGACUUUAGAGAGAGAAGGUAAGAGUCUGAGAAAGUAGAGAGAGAGCAGCAAAGAAAAAGGAUUCGAUGGGUUCCGGCCGCCGGUGAUGGAGGAGCCAUGGUGCCUUUAGGGGGCGUUUGGGUUAGCUUAUUUUGGAGCAACUUAUGACUUAUUGACUUAUAAAAGUUAAUAAGUUAUUUUCUAAGUGUUUGGGUUAGCUUAUUUUGAAGAAGUUUGUGUCUUGAGAAGUCAUUUAUUGAGAAGUUAGAAUUUCUAACUUCUCACUUUUGACUUAUAUAAGUUAAUAAGUCACUUUGAGAAGGAAUGCCAAACACCCACUUAGAUGGAGCUACACCAGUGAUGGUCUAGGUGGUGUUGGGUUGGAGAAAGAAACAACAGUGGUGGUGCUAGGGUUUGAUAGAGGAUGAUGGUGGUAAGAGGCGGUGGUUCAGUUAUGUGCCGACUUCUUCCUUUUCUUAAAACCCCCUUAUGUCUUGUCUCUCAUGUCCUUAUCAUUCCUCUAGGGUUCUCCCCUUUCUCCGACGAAGGAGCCGACAACGGUAGUGAUGGCCGGCCAUGACAAAGAUGAUGGUGUUUCUUUUGUUGAGAAGUGACAGUGGUAGUGAUGGUCGGGAAGACGAUGGUGUUUCUUUUGUUGAGAAGUGGCGGUGGAGACAAAGAUUAGGGUUUCGCGAUGUCUUCUGGUAUAGUUCAUGCCAAACUCAGGUAAGGUUCGACUCUAUUAGUAUUCCGUAAAACCGAGCCACUUUGUCGUCUUUACCAAAGAAAUUAUAUAUUCUUAUGUUACCCUUAAAAAAUAACUGAAUUUGACUUAAUAGUGUGACCGUUUGAUCAAGCUGAGAUGAGAUAUCAGCCGUGUAAAUUAACCCAAUUCUUCUAGAAGGAGCAGUUUUUCAGCGGUUGUAACUUGUAUGUUGUAACCUCCUGUUUUUGAGGAUGAACCUGGGUAACCAGAAUCAUGUAUUUUAAUAGGCCACUCCGAUGUGAUUCAAAUAUUUCUUUUGAUAUUUGAUUUGCCAUAUGAAGCUGUAUCAACACUCUUUUAACCCACUCGGUAGUGCGUGAUGUUCACUCAACUCUAUCAACGACGCCCGCCACCGGCGAUGACGUAGCGGUGGUGAAUAGUGAAUUGGAGACGGACCCACCCGAAGGUUCUGUGGAAGAGGUACACUGAAUGUCUGUACCAGCAUAAAGAACUAGGCUUGUAUUUGGAUGUGAGCCGGGUCAGGUUUACAUAUGGGUUUGUGAGGGAGAUGGAGCCUAGGUUUGCUAAGGCGAUGGAGGAGCUUGAAAAGGGGAUGAUUUUAAACCCAUGUAUGUUUUUCCUUUUGAUUUUUGACUACUUAAUAUGUUUUAGUUUGAUGCCCAAGUACCUCUCUAAUUCACUUAAUAAUGAAUGGGUUGAUAUUUUUUUUCCAACAACGGCUCGAUGCCCUUGAGAUGGAAACAGGGUACCCGACACAACCCCAAUCGCAGAUUGGAAGGUUACCAUUUAAAGAACAUCAAAUAUGAUAGCUGGAGUUCAAAUUUCAUCCUGCUUGUAUAGAGAUGACACCAAAGGAGGCUAAACAGAUAUGGCUAAUGCAAUUGUCUUGGCAGACUGAUUUCUUGCAAAACUACAAUCUUUAAACUGUAACUCGAAAGGCCCUCAUGUUUUUUUUUUUUAACGACCAACAAAAUCAAUCCCUAGCACUCUCGGGGCACCCACUGCACCAAACGGAGUACCCCGAGGUUAAUCCGAGUCCACCACCAAUUCCAGGGAAAGGCUCUCAUGUUGGCUGAAAUAUUUGAUUAUGUCCACUUUUCAAGUCCUUACAAAAUCAAGUUGAGGCGUGUGUGAGUGUGUGUAUAUAUUUCUGUUUCAUUAUGUUAGUUAGAGAAAAUAUACUUUUCUAAUUAUGAAUUAAUAAACAAAUUUCAAAGUAGGCUGAUUUAGGUUGUGGUUUAUCUGUAGUGGAGUAGUGGGUCAAGUAGGAAAGGUAAGUUCAAAGAGAACAUGUCAAAUGGUUGAAAUUCAUCUCAAAUGUAUUUUUAAUGUUUAUCGCUCCCACAUUGUAUUAAUUAAAAAAUAGAAUAUUACGGUACAACAAAGCUAUUGUAGGCGUUCUAACAAGUAUUGAUACAUAGCUUGGAGGUUAGGUGAGUUUAUUUAUUUACUUUUACGAUUAUUGUUAUUAUUAUAUGUUUUGGUUUACUAAAUGGCCUGAAAAUGUUCUAAUAUGCAGUAUGGUGACGGAACCCAUAUCAGUUGGUUUGAACGUUGGUCUUGACAUUGUUAGGGGGCUCCAGUUUUCUUUGUUGAUGAUUUACGUGCAUGCCAAUAUUUUAAAUAGAUAUCAUCUGAAACUAAAGGAAUCUGAACAAUCAUUAUUAUUGGGAAUAAGAAGAUGGUAUGAUGUUAGAAUUCUAAUUUA
Molecule: long non-coding RNA, 2433 nt
Organism: Helianthus annuus (common sunflower)
Lineage: Eukaryota; Viridiplantae; Streptophyta; Magnoliopsida; Asterales; Asteraceae
Exons: 3
Source: RefSeq, a predicted model, not a curated record